Long non-coding RNA from Panicum hallii, 1294 nucleotides. RefSeq lists it as uncharacterized. NCBI's taxonomy places the organism in Eukaryota, Viridiplantae, Streptophyta, Magnoliopsida, Poales, Poaceae. The transcript is spliced from 2 exons. The record is from RefSeq and is a predicted model, not a curated record.
UACUGCUGUCUGAGAAAGAUCUCUAUAUAAAUAUCGGACGAUCGAGAUUUAUCUAUACUACUGAAAUAUUAAUUAGUAGUAUGAGGUUGCAUAUCAUUAGGGUAAUAUGAGAAAGAUGAUAUAUGUCACCUUCAUUUAUUUUUUUCAGUUUCUUUCUCUUUCCUUUUCAUUUCUUCUUGAUCCGUUCCCCCAUCUCACGCUGCUCGGCUCGGCGCCUAGAGUUUCCAGGCCCGGCGACGAGUCCCGUUCGCCGUCGUGGAGGAGGCGCGUGCCACGCCCUACACUUGGCCCCUGGGUGGAGGGCGGGCAGCGGCUCGCCCCCACGGCUGACGCUCGCCGCCGGGAAUGCAUCCAUGGCUGCGGAUCCCCGCGUCCGUUGCUCGCCGCCGGGGAGGUGGCGCAUCCCGCACCCGACGCAAGGCCCCUGGGAGGAGGGCAGGCAGCGGCUCGCCCCCACGGCCGCCGCUCGUCGCCGGGGAGGCAUCCGUGUGGCGGCGGAUCCGCGCCCAACGCUCAUCCCCUUGGAGGAAGGAUGGCAGGUGGCUCACCACCACAUAUUUUGUUUCUGCGAAUCGUUGAUUAUUCCUGGUUUUGUGUGCAGUUAAGGAGGACUACAGCAGAUUUAAGUGCUCUCAGCUACAUGGGCGCUGAUGUGUUCAUCCUGAAGAUAAGUUCCCCAUCCUGCUGUUUACCUGUUUCCAUUGUAUGAGAUAUAUGUGACUGUCUAUACUUGAGAGUAAACUUCACUGUUGAAGAAUUGAAGAGAGAGAUUUCUGAUCAUGAUGCAGAGAAAUAGGUCUGUUAUUCUUCUCGUUUUGUUAUCUCUGUAGUCUGAUGACCUCUCUGAAGGUGCUCACUCUAGGUUUGUGGCGGCUGCUUUAUGUCAUCUCCUUUAUUUCACUCUGUUUUUUGAAGCGAAAAAAGUUGGACCAAUCAUUCAUAUUUGUGCCAUUGAGUAAAUAGAGCCAUUAAGCUUACUCAUUAAGCUUACUGAACGUACUGUCAAUUUCUGACAUGUACUCCUGUAUUCAUUGGUGCUACUGGUUUUCAGGUUCGGAAAGCUGCCUUACUAUUGGCUGACUUUGUUUUGCACUAAAGCUUUACAUCGUCCAUCUUUGAUGGUGUUACUGCCAUAAGGUCCUGCAUGCGGAGGUAAAGAAGACUCACAGGACCUGUAGAUGUGGCUUGCUUCUUGAUAUGUACAUGCUGUUCUUGUGAAAUUAUGUACAAACAGGAAAUUCAGAACUUGAGCUUUGUGAUGCUAUGUAAAAGUUGACUUACAGUGCUUUGAAUA